This 806-nucleotide non-coding RNA is filed under the name Patawatermes nigripunctatus. The record is from RNAcentral. Lineage: Eukaryota; Metazoa; Arthropoda; Insecta; Blattodea; Termitidae.
GUGAAGUUUUAUUCUUGCUUUUUCAUUCAAUGUUUGUUUGUUUUAUAUGUAAGUUUUUGCGUGGGUUUGUUCAUUUCUCUAAAUGGGUAUGGAUUUUUAUUAUUAAUUCUCAUUAGUUAUUAUUGGCUGGUCAAGUACCCUUGUAUUUAGCAAUUCAUUUUAGUUUCGGUUAAAUUUUGUGCCAGCAGCCGCGGUUAUACCUUGGAGGCACUUGAAUGUGUUUGGUGUUGUAGUUAUUAUGUUUAAUCUUUGAUUUUAUUUUGUUCGUUCAUUAGGUGAAAUUUUUAUUGUUAUUUUAUGUCAUUUAAUUAUUUGGAGGCUAUGAAAUUCCUUUUAUAGACUAGGAUUAGAUACCCUAUUAUUUUGGAUUGUUAAUUUUAGUGCCUGAGUAGUAUUAGUUAUGUUCUUGAAACUUAAAGAAUUUGGCGGUAUCUUAUUCCAUUCAGAGGAAUCUGUCUCGUUAUCGAUAGUCCGCGUUGGACCUUACUUAGUUGCUUUGGUUUGUAUACCGCCGUUUAUUGAUUAUCUUUUUAGAGUUUAUUUAAUUUUCUGGUUUCUUUAUUUUGAUUUAUUUCAGGUCAAGGUGCAGCUUGUUUCUAAGUGGAAUGAUGGGUUACAUUGGUAUUUGUUUAUUGGAUUGCUGGUUUCAAUACUGGUAUGAAAUUGGAUUUGGUUGUAAUGUUUUGUAGAUUGUUUUCAUGAUAAUUGGUUCUGGGAUAUGUACACAUCGCCCGUCGCUCUCGUUUAUUUGUUAAUGAGAUAAGUCGUAACAAAGUGGUUGUACCGGAAGGUGCAGCUGGAUUGAU